Molecule: unclassified non-coding RNA, 187 nt
Organism: Anser brachyrhynchus (Pink-footed goose)
Lineage: Eukaryota; Metazoa; Chordata; Aves; Anseriformes; Anatidae
Source: Ensembl
AAUAAAGCCCUGGAAAGUGAAGUCCUUUUUCUGUCCAUUAACCAGGCACAGAGUGAAUGGGAAAGCACAAGCUUCACCAGCAAGGCUGCGUGCUGCCCUCCAAAUACGCCUGAAACGAGACCUGGGUAUGCCCUCUCCCAUGUGACAGGACAGUUUUGUUUCCUUGUCCAUUAAUUUCUUGACGUCU